UACGUAGGGGGCAAGCGUUGUCCGGAUUUAUUGGGCGUAAAGAGCGUGUAGGCGGCCAGACAGGUCCGUUGUGAAAACUCGAGGCUCAACCUCGAGAUGUCGAUGGAAACCGUCUGGCUAGAGUCCGGAAGAGGAGUGUGGAAUUCCUGGUGUAGCGGUGAAAUGCGUAGAUAUCAGGAGGAACACCAAUGGCGAAGGCAGCUCGCUGGGACGGUACUGACGCUGAGACGCGAAAGCGUGGGGAGCAAACAGG
This 253-nucleotide ribosomal RNA is filed under the name uncultured bacterium. Its description in RNAcentral is "partial 16S ribosomal RNA". It matches the Rfam family "Bacterial small subunit ribosomal RNA", at positions 524 to 776 of the family's 1533-position model. The record is from RNAcentral.